GAUUAGACCCAGCUCCCUGACCCCAAACCCUGCAGUCCCAGCUGGAGGGUGAGGAGAUGCUGGGCUUGGGUGGGGGAAUCAGGGGUGUAAAGGGUCCUGCU
Molecule: microRNA precursor, 101 nt
Organism: Rhinopithecus bieti (black snub-nosed monkey)
Lineage: Eukaryota; Metazoa; Chordata; Mammalia; Primates; Cercopithecidae
Source: Ensembl